This 414-nucleotide ribosomal RNA is filed under the name uncultured bacterium. RNAcentral's name for it is "bacterial SSU rRNA". It matches the Rfam family "Bacterial small subunit ribosomal RNA", at positions 355 to 766 of the family's 1533-position model. The record is from RNAcentral.
UGAGGAAUAUUGGUCAAUGGGCGGGAGCCUGAACAAGCCAAGUCGCGUGAAGGAAGAAGGAUCUAUGGUUCGUAAACUUCUUUUGCAGGGGAAUAAAGUGCAGGACGUGUCCUGUUUUGUAUGUACCCUGAGAAUAAGGACCGGCUAACUCCGAGACAGCAGCCGCAGUAAUACGGAGGAUCCGAGCGUUAUCAGGAUUUAUUGGGUUUAAAGGGUGCGUAGGUGGUUUGAUAAGUCAGCGGUGAAAGUUUGCAGCUUAACUGUAAAAAUGCCGUUGAACCUGUCGGACUUGAGUGUAAAUGAAGUAGGCGGAAUGCGUGGUGUAGCGGUGAAAUGCAUAGAUAGCACGCAGAACUCCUAUUGCGAAUGCAGCUUACUAAGCUACAACUGACGCUCAUGCACGAAGGCGUGGGG